Molecule: long non-coding RNA, 348 nt
Organism: Athalia rosae (coleseed sawfly)
Lineage: Eukaryota; Metazoa; Arthropoda; Insecta; Hymenoptera; Athaliidae
Exons: 2
Source: RefSeq, a predicted model, not a curated record
AUCGAAUAAAUUAGGCUAGGACAAAGAUGCUUCAAGUGCCAAAGUCAGUCCGUGAAGCGACUUACAACAGCCUCUCACCGCAAGAACGGAACCAUCCUCGGUGCAAUCAUGUAUAUUGGCAUAAAAAUGUGAUGAUACAUAUUCGAUCAUACUGUACACAUCUUUUUUUCUAAGAUUGAAUUGUCAAUCCAAUGUUAAUCGAGAAAUGUAUAUUGCCCAAACUAUAUUGUAUUUCAUAAGUCAUGUGAAUUAUUGUGUGCAUAAAAAUAAAUGUGUAAUAGGCAUUGCGAAGUCCUGAUAAGUUUUUGUAAUCAAUGAUCUAUUAAUAAACAUAGACUAUUAUGAAUA